Molecule: ribosomal RNA, 446 nt
Filed under: uncultured bacterium
Lineage: Bacteria
Description: partial 16S ribosomal RNA
Rfam family: Bacterial small subunit ribosomal RNA
Source: RNAcentral
CCUACGGGUGGCAGCAGUCGAGAAUCAUUCACAAUGGGGGAAACCCUGAUGGUGCGACGCCGCGUGGGGGAAUGAAGGUCUUCGGAUUGUAAACCCCUGUCAUGUGGGAGCAAAUUAAAAAGAUAGUACCACAAGAGGAAGAGACGGCUAACUCUGUGCCAGCAGCCGCGGUAAUACAGAGGUCUCAAGCGUUGUUCGGAAUCACUGGGCGUAAAGCGUGCGUAGGCUGUUUCGUAAGUCGUGUGUGAAAGGCGCGGGCUCAACCCGCGGACGGCACAUGAUACUGCGAGACUAGAGUAAGGGAGGGGGAACCGGAAUUCUCGGUGUAGCAGUGAAAUGCGUAGAUAUCGAGAGGAACACUCGUGGCGAAGGCGGGUUCCUGGACAUUAACUGACGCUGAGGCACGAAGGCCAGGGGAGCGAAAGGGAUUAGAUAUCCCUGUAGUC